Molecule: ribosomal RNA, 232 nt
Filed under: uncultured bacterium
Lineage: Bacteria
Description: partial 16S ribosomal RNA
Rfam family: Bacterial small subunit ribosomal RNA
Source: RNAcentral
CGAACGGGUGAGUAAUACAUCGGAACGUGUCCUGUAGCGGGGGAUAACCUCUCGAAAGAGAGGCUAAUACCGCAUACGACCUAAGGGUGAAAGAGGGGGAUCGCAAGACCUCUCACUAUUGGAGCGGCCGAUGUCGGAUUAGCUAGUUGGUGGGGUAAAAGCCCACCAAGGCUACGAUCCGUAGCUGGUCUGAGAGGACGACCAGCCACACUGGAACUGAGACACGGUCCAG